UUCAACCCCCCCUUUUAGAUCCGUGCCAUAGUCUAACAGUGUCUGCACUGUCAAUCAGAGGGGAUGUCGCCGAGUUCGAAAAGACAUCCAAGAAAUGUUGGAUGAAGGUGUAAUUGAAAUACUUCAUAAUCGCAAUGGGGAUGAUGAAGUUAAUGUGAUAUCACCAGUGUUUCGGAUCCCAGAGCCUGUUGUCAUCCGAUAUGAUGGCAUCAAACCGAAGG
This 221-nucleotide long non-coding RNA is filed under the name Lathyrus oleraceus (garden pea). Its description in RNAcentral is "Pisum sativum (pea) long non-coding RNA (PSAT_LNC011563)". The record is from RNAcentral. Lineage: Eukaryota; Viridiplantae; Streptophyta; Magnoliopsida; Fabales; Fabaceae.